GUCUCGGUAAUCUAAAGGCUUAGGACGCUCGCACGGAAUGCAAGAGAUCCGGGUUCGACUCCCGGCCGAGGCA
Non-coding RNA from Trachymyrmex septentrionalis, 73 nucleotides. Lineage: Eukaryota; Metazoa; Arthropoda; Insecta; Hymenoptera; Formicidae. The record is from Rfam.